Long non-coding RNA from Anas platyrhynchos (mallard), 3261 nucleotides. RefSeq lists it as uncharacterized. The record is from RefSeq and is a predicted model, not a curated record. NCBI's taxonomy places the organism in Eukaryota, Metazoa, Chordata, Aves, Anseriformes, Anatidae.
AGUGGAAGCAUGUAUGUCCUGUUAGAGACUCAUGUUUACAUUAUUACUGGGAGCAGAUUGAAUGGUUUAAUCUUCUUAUGUUUUUUACAGUUUUCUUGCAAACCUCAUGGUUUUGCAACAGUCAACGCUGGGACUCCUUUUGAAAAGGACAAGCAGCUUAAAAGGACCUCAAACCUAUCCUACCCUGUUGGGAUUUUGCAAGCCAAAAGUUAUCUAGCUUCUAACCCAACGUCUUUUCCAUGACCAGGGUUCUUCUCUCAUGCUCUUCUCUCCACCUAACCUCUGCUAGGGGCACAAUCCUGUCCUAUGCUGGCAAAACAAAGCUGAGCAUUGAGGCUGAUCGCACUGUGCUGCUACAGAUGCACUGGAUGAACUCUUUCCUGCGUGUUUCAUGUUGCUUCUCUCUGUCAUGAGAGAAUCCGCUGCCCAUGUGGUGACAGCAAGCACAUGUAGACAUUGUUUAAUGAACACACAGCCAGCCCAAUGUACUUGUUAAUCAAGCCAGCGUCCCAAGAGCUGGCAGAAGAACUGAAUGCUCUUGCUGAGUCAGCAUGUGGGCCAUGGUUAUGACUUUCCAUCAAACGCACGCUUUCUGCUGCCAAGUCUGGGCCAACUCUUCAGCAUCACUGAAGCCAGACGAGUAUCUGGAUUAAGGUUCCACAUGGAGGGGAGGGCUCUGCAGAGUUUCUUGCUUGUUUGUUUUGGUUCUCACCAGCGAACCACUAAGCCCCUGCGAUGAUCUUUCCAGUUGGAAAAGGACUCAGCUGAUCCAGUUUGUGCAAGAACCUUUCAACCCAGCAACUGGUGAAGCUUCAGAGAGAAGGAUUUCUCAGCUUCAGGAUUUCUCAGCUCCACAGAAAAAUAGAAGCUCAAAACCAAAGACAAACACAUAUCAGCCUUGGAGAGCACGCGGGGCAUUACCCCAGGCAUCCUGGCAAAACUUCCAACUUCCUUGCCGCUGUCUUGAUGAAAGGGGACAUGUCAGCCCUCGAAAAUGUGUGUUAGGCAAGAAAGAGGAGACUUCUGGGAAAGCACUUCUUUUCUGCAAAAUUAGUUUUGCUGAGUUUACAAGGUGUCGAAGGCUAUUAAUACCGCACGCUUUGGUACCAUGAGAUUGUAAACAAAGUUUCAAUAUGCCUUUCUACAGAACCAUUUAUCAGCCUCCAUCUUUUUCCCUCUGGCUUUUUUCCACCCUUUGCUUUCUUUCUUUGCUUUCUUUCUUUCUUUUUUUUUUUUCUUCCCUUCCCUCUCAUUCUUUAGCUUUGUCUCCUGGAUUUAUUCCCAUUCUCUAGGUUGUCUUAUUAAUUUUCCUCUUUUUCAAAGAAAAAAACAGGCUUGUGGCCUGGAGACUUUACAACAUUCUCUCAUAGUCCUGGAUUUAAAACGCCUAGCCGGGGGUCUAUAAUGUACUGACAUGGAAAGACUAGACUUAUUAUUAAACUAAUAAUCUUGGAAUUUUUAUGAACUACAGAGCUCUGCAAUCAUUUCUAACCACAUGGCACGGGUUGCUGAGGUAUUAGCAGCCAUUGGUGAAAAGCUACUGUGGCUGGACACGCCAACUUUGUCAACACCUGGGAGCAGGGCUGCAGAGAUGAACGAGCCGAGGAGGUGGUGGAGAGAAAUGGGAUGCUCUCAGAAGCCCCAGGUGAGACUUGCCCGCUUUCACCCCAAAGGUUUGUAUCCAGUACAUUAGUCAAGCUAGAGCCCCCAAAAUAUAACAUGGGGUAUGGGAAAAUAUGUUGAAUUAAAUGGGAAUGCUAGGAGUUGGGAGUGUAGUCGUGUAAUUGCCUUAAUCUCUAUUUUUACCACCACUAGAUACCAAGUCAGGCGGAUCCUUGACCCAGCCCAACACAAAUACGUGUGUUCUUUUACAACUGAGCAGGUUAAGAUGGGACAGUUUCUAUACCUCCCAUUUUAACAUCUUUUCUCACGAUGAAGACUAAAAGCUAGAAUUUUCAGAUCUUUUGGAGCAUUUGUCUGGAAGGCCUUACAAAGAUUGCUCUUUUAAGGGUGUUUUGUUAUGUUGGGUUGGGUUAAGGAUCCAUCUAACUCACUAUCUAGCAGUACCUGCAGUAUUUUCAACUACAACAUGUGAAGAUGCUUUGUUGCUUAUGAAUAUAUUUACCAGACACUUUAAAUUUCAUAGAACUGUAGAUUUUUAAAUUUGAUAAAAAAUUUUUACAAGCAAACAUACCAAAAAUUUAAAAUUUGAUACAAUUAGAUUUGGUACAAAGUGUAUUCCACCAGCAUUCAGAAUCACUGCACUGCUCACUUUGCCACCCAGUAAAAUGAAAAAUCCCCUGGCUUGAUGCUGCUCAUUACAUUUCCAGAGCAUAAUUUCAAAUGGUGUGUGAAACAUCUCACUUCUGGCUCUGGACACCUGGGCAGCUGUGUUGUUCGGUGCUAGGCAGCCCCAUGUUUCAUUCAGGAGAUGGAGGUACCUUUGUGGCCAUCUGCUCAUGGUUUCACAAAUUGUUAAUGCUUUUCAGGAUGCAAAUUGCCAGUGGAAAGAAAGAGAGACAAUCAUUUGAGUUGCAGUUUAAGGCAGAGUUGAUCUUAUUAUAGGGGAUUAUAGCAUUGUGUGAGCUGCCGUGAUAUGAGAAGGGUUUUUUUUUUCCACUGCAAGGCAUUUGUGAGACCUCCACUCCUUGCAUUUUCUGCUUGCCUGUCAAUCUGCUCAUCUUUCCGUUUCAUUUAAUUAGAAACACUGGUUUUAAUGAUGCCUCUUCUCGGAGAUUGAACACACCAGGCCACAGUCUCUGUGUGCCUCAGGUGGUAGAAAUACAUUGGCUGCACUGAAGUCACCUGGGGGAAAACAAAGAAGGGGAAAAGCUCACUAUCUCCUUGUGAUGGAUUGCUAACCCAUCCCUGGGAUAUUCCAGAGAGAACAGACGUGCAGCCCAUGCUGAGGAUGAAUUACUGGAUCCUAUUAUAACGGGAAGAAUUAAAAAAAAAAAGGAGAACUCCUCCGGAUAAUCAGCACCAGCUGCCACUUGCGGGGUACCCCAUCCUCCAGGCAAGCCGCAGCUGUGAUUCAUGCCACGUCCUACGUUGUUGCCUGCCCUUAACAUCUAAACAAUAUGACAUGUUCUGCCUCAGUACAUACAUAUUUCGUCCUUACGCGUGAGUUUCCGGCUGCUCAGCAAAGCAGGCGGCCGGGGAGGAUGCAGGCUUUUUUUCUUUCCUUUGUACUGUAACUCAUCCACGAGGAGGAUGGGGAACGAGGGUGUCAGGGGGGAAGCUUCCAGCGAGUCUCCGGAU